RNAcentral lists this ribosomal RNA (467 nucleotides) under uncultured bacterium. RNAcentral's name for it is "bacterial SSU rRNA". It matches the Rfam family "Bacterial small subunit ribosomal RNA", at positions 28 to 507 of the family's 1533-position model. The record is from RNAcentral.
GACGAACGCUGGCGGCGUGCUUAAAACAUGCAAGUCGAACGGACUUCUCAUGAAGCUUGCAAUUGAGAAGUUAGUGGCGGACGGGUGAGUAACGCGUGGGCAACCUGCCCCUGAGCCCGGGAUAACAGUUCGAAAGGACUGCUAAGACCGGAUAUACUUGCGGGGAAGCAUUUCUCUGUAAGGAAAGGGAACGCUCAGGGAUGGGCCCGCGUCCCAUUAGCUAGUUGGUGAGGUAACGGCCCACCAAGGCGACGAUGGGUAGCCGGCCUGAGAGGGUGAACGGCCACACUGGGACUGAGAUACGGCCCAGACUCCUACGGGAGGCAGCAGUUGGGAAUCUUAGGCAAUGGGCGAAAGCCUGACCUAGCGACGCCGCGUGAGGGAAGAAGGCCUUCGGGUCGUAAACCUCUGUCAUGGGGGACGAAGGAAGUGACGGUACCCAAGAGGAAGCCCCUGCUAACUACGUG